CUGCUGCCUCCCGUAGGAGUUUGGACCGUGUCUCAGUUCCAAUGUGGGGGACCUUCCUCUCAGAACCCCUACGCAUCGUCGGCUUGGUGGGCCGUUGCCCCACCAACUACCUAAUGCGCCGCAUGCCCAUCCAUGACCGGGGUCGCCCCCUUUGACCGGCAGGGGAUGUCCCCUCCCGGCAUUAUGUUGUAUUAGGCGGGAUUUCUCCCGGUUAUCCAUCUGUCACGGCCAGGUUGCAUACGUGUUACUCACCCGUGCGCCGGUCGCCCGGG
RNAcentral lists this ribosomal RNA (272 nucleotides) under uncultured bacterium. RNAcentral describes it as "partial 16S ribosomal RNA". The record is from RNAcentral.